RNAcentral lists this ribosomal RNA (523 nucleotides) under uncultured bacterium. RNAcentral describes it as "partial 16S ribosomal RNA". It matches the Rfam family "Bacterial small subunit ribosomal RNA", at positions 28 to 523 of the family's 1533-position model. The record is from RNAcentral.
GACGAACGCUGGCGGCGUGCCUAAUACAUGCAAGUCGAACGCUUUUUCUUUCACCGGAGCUUGCUCCACCGAAAGAAAAAGAGUGGCGAGCGGGUGAGUAACACGUGGGUAACCUGCCCAUCAGAAGGGGAUAACACUUGGAAACAGGUGCUAAUACCGUAUAACACUAUUUUCCGCAUGGAAGAAAGUUGAAAGGCGCUUUUGCGUCACUGAUGGAUGGACCCGCGGUGCAUUAGCUAGUUGGUGAGGUAACGGCUCACCAAGGCAACGAUGCAUAGCCGACCUGAGGGGGGGAUCGGCCACACGGGGACUGAGACACGGCCCAGACGCCUACGGGAGGCAGCAGUAGGGAAUCUUCGGCAAUGGACGAAAGUCUGACCGAGCAACGCCGCGUGAGUGAAGAAGGUUUUCGGAUCGUAAAACUCUGUUGUUAGAGAAGAACAAGGAUGAGAGUAGAACGUUCAUCCCUUGACGGUAUCUAACCAGAAAGCCACGGCUAACUACGUGCCAGCAGCCGCCGUAA